GAGCGGUAACAGGCGUAGCAAUACGUGCUGACGAGCGGCGAACGGGUGAGUAACGCUUCGGAAUCUGCCCAAUGGUGGGGAAUAACCAGCCGAAAGGUUGGCUAAUACCGCAUGAGCCCUACGGGGGAAAGCGGGGGAUCGCAAGACCUCGCGCCGAUGGAUGAGCCGAAGCCGGAUUAGCUAGUUGGUAGGGUAACGGCCUACCAAGGCGACGAUCCGUAGCUGGUCUGAGAGGACGACCAGCCACACUGGGACUGAGACACGGCCCAGACUCCUACGGGAGGCAGCAGUGGGGAAUAUUGGACAAUGGGGGAAACCCUGAUCCAGCGACGCCGCGUGUGUGAAGAAGGCCUGCGGGUUGUAAAGCACUUUUAGUGGGGAUGAAAAGCUCAGGGUUAACACCUCUGGGUCUUGACCUAACCCACAGAAAAAGCACCGGCUAACUCUGUG
This 450-nucleotide ribosomal RNA is filed under the name uncultured bacterium. RNAcentral describes it as "bacterial SSU rRNA". It matches the Rfam family "Bacterial small subunit ribosomal RNA", at positions 64 to 507 of the family's 1533-position model. The record is from RNAcentral.